Molecule: ribosomal RNA, 248 nt
Filed under: uncultured Actinomycetales bacterium
Lineage: Bacteria; Bacillati; Actinomycetota; Actinomycetes; Actinomycetales
Description: partial 16S ribosomal RNA
Rfam family: Bacterial small subunit ribosomal RNA
Source: RNAcentral
GGGGGUACUCGAGUGGCGAACGGGUGAGUAACACGUGGGUGAUCUGCCUUGCACUCUGGGAUAAGCUUGGGAAACUGGGUCUAAUACCGGAUAGGAACCGUCUUUAGUGUGGUGGUUGGAAAGUUUUUUCGGUGCAAGAUGAGCUCGCGGCCUAUCGGCUUGUUGGUGGGGUAAUGGCCUACCAAGGCGUCGACGGGUAGCCGGCCUGAGAGGGUGUACGGCCACAUUGGGACUGAGAUACGGCCCAG